AGUGAACGCUGGCGGUAGGCCUAACACAUGCAAGUCGAACGGCAGCACAGUAAGAGCUUGCUCUUACGGGUGGCGAGUGGCGGACGGGUGAGGAAUACAUCGGAAUCUACUUUUUCGUGGGGGAUAACGUAGGGAAACUUACGCUAAUACCGCAUACGACCUACGGGUGAAAGUAGGGGAUCUUCGGACCUUGCGCGAUUGAAUGAGCCGAUGUCGGAUUAGCUAGUUGGCGGGGUAAAGGCCCACCAAGGCGACGAUCCGUAGCUGGUCUGAGAGGAUGAUCAGCCACACUGGAACUGAGACACGGUCCAGACUCCUACGGGAGGCAGCAGUGGGGAAUAUUGGACAAUGGGCGCAAGCCUGCUCCAGCCAUACCGCGUGGGUGAAGAAGGCCUUCGGGUUGUAAAGCCCUUUUGUUGGGAAAGAAAAGCAGCAGGUUAAUACCCCGCUGUUCUGACGGUACCCAAAGAAUAAGCACCGGCUAACUUCGUG
Molecule: ribosomal RNA, 492 nt
Filed under: uncultured bacterium
Lineage: Bacteria
Description: partial 16S ribosomal RNA
Rfam family: Bacterial small subunit ribosomal RNA
Source: RNAcentral